UACGUAGGUGGCAAGCGUUAUCCGGAAUUAUUGGGCGUAAAGCGCGCGCAGGCGGUUUCUUAAGUCUGAUGUGAAAGCCCACGGCUCAACCGUGGAAGGUCAUUGGAAACUGGGGAACUUGAGUGCAGAAGAGAAAAGCGGAAUUCCACGUGUAGCGGUGAAAUGCGUAGAGAUGUGGAGGAACACCAGUGGCGAAGGCGGCUUUUUGGUCUGUAACUGACGCUGAGGCGCGAAAGCGUGGGGAGCAAACAGG
Molecule: ribosomal RNA, 253 nt
Filed under: uncultured bacterium
Lineage: Bacteria
Description: partial 16S ribosomal RNA
Rfam family: Bacterial small subunit ribosomal RNA
Source: RNAcentral